RNAcentral lists this ribosomal RNA (496 nucleotides) under uncultured bacterium. Its description in RNAcentral is "partial 16S ribosomal RNA". It matches the Rfam family "Bacterial small subunit ribosomal RNA", at positions 29 to 507 of the family's 1533-position model. The record is from RNAcentral.
AUGAACGCUGGCGGCGUGCCUAAUACAUGCCAGUCGAGCGAACAGACGAGGAGCUUGCUCCUCUGACGUUAGCGGCGGACGGGUGAGUAACACGUGGAUAACCUACCUAUAAGACUGGGAUAACUUCGGGAAACCGGAGCUAAUACCGGAUAAUAUAUUGAACCGCAUGGUUCAAUAGUGAAAGACGGUUUUGCUGUCACUUAUAGAUGGAUCCGCGCCGCAUUAGCUAGUUGGUAAGGUAACGGCUUACCAAGGCGACGAUGCGUAGCCGACCUGAGAGGGUGAUCGGCCACACUGGAACUGAGACACGGUCCAGACUCCUACGGGAGGCAGCAGUAGGGAAUCUUCCGCAAUGGGCGAAAGCCUGACGGAGCAACGCCGCGUGAGUGAUGAAGGUCUUCGGAUCGUAAAACUCUGUUAUUAGGGAAGAACAAAUGUGUAAGUAACUACGCACGUCUUGACGGUACCUAAUCAGAAAGCCACGGCUAACUACGUG